CAAUGUCGAGUGCUAUACAUGCAAGUCGAGCGGACAGAUGGGAGCUUGCUCCCUGAUGUUAGCGGCGGACGGGUGAGUAACACGUGGGUAACCUGCCUGUAAGACUGGGAUAACUCCGGGAAACCGGGGCUAAUACCGGAUGGUUGUCUGAACCGCAUGGUUCAGACAUAAAAGGUGGCUUCGGCUACCACUUACAGAUGGACCCGCGGCGCAUUAGCUAGUUGGUGAGGUAACGGCUCACCAAGGCGACGAUGCGUAGCCGACCUGAGAGGGUGAUCGGCCACACUGGGACUGAGACACGGCCCAGACUCCUACGGGAGGCAGCAGUAGGGAAUCUUCCGCAAUGGACGAAAGUCUGACGGAGCAACGCCGCGUGAGUGAUGAAGGUUUUCGGAUCGUAAAGCUCUGUUGUUAGGGAAGAACAAGUGCCGUUCAAAUAGGGCGGCACCUUGACGGUACCUAACCAGAAAGCCACGGCUAACUACGUGCCAGCAGCCGCGGUAAUACGUAGGUGGCAAGCGUUGUCCGGAAUUAUUGGGCGUAAAGGGCUCGCAGGCGGUUUCUUAAGUCUGAUGUGAAAGCCCCCGGCUCAACCGGGGAGGGUCAUUGGAAACUGGGGAACUUGAGUGCAGAAGAGGAGAGUGGAAUUCCACGUGUAGCGGUGAAAUGCGUAGAGAUGUGGAGGAACACCAGUGGCGAAGGCGACUCUCUGGUCUGUAACUGACGCUGAGGAGCGAAAGCGUGGGGAGCGAACAG
RNAcentral lists this ribosomal RNA (756 nucleotides) under Bacillus amyloliquefaciens. RNAcentral describes it as "bacterial SSU rRNA". It matches the Rfam family "Bacterial small subunit ribosomal RNA", at positions 37 to 775 of the family's 1533-position model. Lineage: Bacteria; Bacillati; Bacillota; Bacilli; Caryophanales; Bacillaceae. The record is from RNAcentral.